This is a long non-coding RNA of Oxyura jamaicensis (ruddy duck), 2422 nucleotides long. RefSeq lists it as uncharacterized. The record is from RefSeq and is a predicted model, not a curated record. Lineage: Eukaryota; Metazoa; Chordata; Aves; Anseriformes; Anatidae. The transcript has 2 exons.
CACAAUUCAUUUUCAUAACCCUCCAGCACAAAUGAGCAAUAGGAGAUCUUUCAGUACUGCAGACAUGGUGAAUACAAGAAUAUAUGGUUAGUUUUGAGGUUGUUUAUUUUUUUAAACUGAUUUUUUCGGAGUUGUCUGAUAGUCUUUUCUUUCUAGCUGUUCUCCUGCCACCCUAAGCAGUGCAAAAUGUUAAAUAUGUCCAGCCAUGAAGCUAGCAGCUCCCUGCCUUAAAUCAAACACCUACCAUUUUAAGGUAGCAAUCUGACAACACUGCUUCAUGUCACGUAGUAUCUAGGCCAGUUUCUCUAACUGAACAGGACUGAAACUAAAUUCAAGCUGCUUUUGUCAUGCUCAGAAUAUGCCCUAGUACUUUCCAAAGCAAUGGCAAGACUGUGGAGGCAAUACUGAAAUUAUGACAUGUCCUAUUGCACAACCUUUAAUGUUAUUUCUGAGGCAGCUUUAUAAUAUUAAACAAUUUUUAAAUGCCCCCUAGACCAAGUGAUCAGAUUGUCAAAGCUCUCUAGUGUAUUUUUGUCCAGUCAGAGCUGAUGGAGACUUAAGCAAGGCUUGAAGUGACCCGAGCAUUUGCUGUGCUGUCCCAGGCUGUGGUGCACGUUGCUGUGCUGUGUGCACCGAGGUGUUUGAGAAGUUCUCUAGGUCUGAGGAUGGCUAGCUGGGGGUUUGAUGUAAUGCAUCUGCCUGUCCUGUGCCACUUCAGAAACUGGGUUGGGCCGAGCAAAAGCGCCUUUGGUCUCAGUCCACACCCAAAUUGCAGAGAGACAUCAGCAUUAGUAAUAAUGCUCUGCCUGCAAGGGAGACCCUGAAAUGCAAGUAGGUUAAGUCUGAGAUCAUAACCGACUGCCUAUAAACUAUAUUUUGUGCAGCUCUUGCUUGCUUUUCAGUCUUUCUUUGAAUGUAAAUUCAUAAUACAAGGUUUCAACUAAAGCUGUCUCACUUUGGAAGUAAAUCUUCGUAAUGCAGGUCUUUCUUAAGUGUUGCAUCCAGAGGGUGUUGUGUUCACCUGAAUACAUUAAUGAUGCAGUGAAGUGUUUGAUGAGGAGGUAAAGUUGAAAAGUGGUUUUUAAAAUGGGUCUCCUUGCUCCAGCAUUUUGACAACCAUAUUUCUGGGAGAAUCAGGUGUCACUGCUACCUUAGGUAAAUGAAGCAGGGAACGGUUUGUGUUACAGAUCUCAGGAGAUCUUACGCUGAAGGUUUACAAUGCUUUUUUUUUUUUAAGUUCAUGUGUUUUAUGCAAACUUGACGUACGGUUUUCUGCGCUGAGCCAUGCCAAAAGAUAGAAGACGAGCUAAAUGGUUGCUUUUAGUAGACAUAAAGUCCUUACAAAUAUAAAAGAUUAAGCACAGGUUUGAAGAUAAAUACGAGCAGGAGUGUACAGUUAGUCAUUUUGACAAGAAUAUAGCUUUUUUUUUCCAGCUCCAUCCCCUACUAAUACUUUCAGCCUGCAUAUUUCAUUAGAUAUGCUUACAUACUCUUUAGAAACUUGUAGCAAUCUGUUAAUGUGGACCUGUCUGACAGCCACAGAGGACUUCCAGUGCAACCAUCCUGGUGGAGCACUAAUGCCUUCCUGUGCCUAAUACAGGGUUUUAACAAAUGGAGGUGUUUUCAGGUCCUGUUACCCAUGUGACGCCGGGUGAAUCAUGACCCCUCGUGUUCACGUGUCAGGAACUCCUAACUUGUGCUGUCAGGCAGUUUUACGACACAUUUCCUUUGAAACCAUAAAAGCUAUUACACAAGGUAUUUCACGUCUGCUGAGAAGUGUCUAGCCAUCAGCCUGCGAAUUUCCCCAAAGGUAUUCCAUCUUUCACUCAAAAUAGCAGUCUGCUUGUUUUGAAUGGGAGAAUGUUAAGAAGUUACGAGUACAACACAAAUGAAAAUGAUUUCCAGCAAGACAGUGAUUCGUCACGUAUUUCGUUCAAUGUUGAAGUACAAAGCGAAAAAAAACACGUUGCUUUUGCUCUUUGAUAGUGGUGGGAGGUUGCUACCAGUUACCUGAUAACAGCAUUGGGGUGGAGCUGAGGGGCUGCCCCGUGUCUCCUGUCCCAGCAAAGGGCUCCAGCAGCCUCCUGCGGGUCGUUUGCACUUCACUGAUGGCAACAACGUACCAAGGGACGAGUUGCAGCCACCUCGGGUGUUUCCAUUAGCUUUCCUUGGGAGUAAGAAGGUGAUUGCAGCCUCUCUGUGUUCACACGGGCUCAGAUGCCCCCAGAGCUACGCACACGUCGCCGCCUGCGCUGCGCAGCCCGAUGUGCUUGCCGCAGCACGCCAGCAGCCCCGUGGUGGUGCAUUGUGUGUGUGUGUGCCGGGGCUGCCUUAAAUCACGGCUCAGCAGGCUGCCAUACAACAUGUAAUACAGCUGUUUUGUCUUUGCUCUGCUGAAAUACCAUCUUGGCUUUAAAAAACA